Trichomycterus rosablanca is the source of this 455-nucleotide long non-coding RNA. RefSeq lists it as uncharacterized. The transcript is spliced from 3 exons. The record is from RefSeq and is a predicted model, not a curated record. NCBI's taxonomy places the organism in Eukaryota, Metazoa, Chordata, Actinopteri, Siluriformes, Trichomycteridae.
CUGGAAUAGUCAAAGAUCAGAAGAACCUCCGAAGAAAUACUCCUCAACAUAUAGGUGGAACGUUCAGUAAAACUUCUUUAGUUCCUCAGGAACGUAUCAGUGAUGAAGCAGGUUCUGAUCCUCCUCCUGUAUCUUACAGCUUAUCAACGCCUGUUUCAUCCGGAAUUUAAGCCGCUUUUCUGUGACUACCAGCAGAAGCGCCGGUGAAUCCAACUUAAACAGCAAUUCCAACUCUUCUUCUAAAGCUAAGUACAUUUGUCUAUUAUUAUGGCCCCAGCAGGAGCUCUGGGAGAAAUGGGGUUAGGGUUAAGAGAAAUUAUUCAUAAACACGGCAUAAAAUUUCACUGCUAUGCAGAUGACACACAGCUGUAUAUAUCAGCCAAACCAAAUGAUACUGACACAAUCAGUAAGAUAGAAGAUUAAAGUGUAAACGACAUAAAAAACUGGAUGUCGUG